This 458-nucleotide ribosomal RNA is filed under the name uncultured delta proteobacterium. Its description in RNAcentral is "bacterial SSU rRNA". It matches the Rfam family "Bacterial small subunit ribosomal RNA", at positions 8 to 480 of the family's 1533-position model. Lineage: Bacteria; Deltaproteobacteria. The record is from RNAcentral.
AGAGUUUGAUCCUGGCUCAGAGCGAACGUUUGCGGCGGGCUUAACACAUGCAAGUCGUACGAGAAUCUCCGCUUCGGUGGAGAGGAAAGUGGCGCACGGGUGCGUAACACGUGGGUAAUCAACCCUCUAGAUUGGGACAACCCGGGGAAACUCGGGCUAAUACCAGAUGUCGCGUUGGGCUCUUCGGGGCCGAACGUAAAAGGAGCAAUCCGCUAGAGGACGAGCCCGCGGCCCAUCAGCUAGUUGGCGAGGUAAUGGCUCACCAAGGCGAAGACGGGUAGCUGGUCUGAGAGGAUGAUCAGCCACACUGGAACUGAGACACGGUCCAGACUCCUACGGGAGGCAGCAGUGGGGAAUAUUGCGCAAUGGGCGAAAGCCUGACGCAGCCACGCCGCGUGAGCGAUGAAGGUCUUAGGAUCGUAAAGCUCUGUGGAGAGAGAAGAAACCUGACGGUAUCU